This 328-nucleotide ribosomal RNA is filed under the name uncultured eukaryote. Its description in RNAcentral is "partial 18S ribosomal RNA". It matches the Rfam family "Eukaryotic small subunit ribosomal RNA", at positions 1470 to 1796 of the family's 1831-position model. The record is from RNAcentral.
CCCUUAGAUGUCCUGGGCCGCACGCGCGCUACACUGAUGCAUGCAACGAGUUUAUAACCUUGGCCUGAAAGGUCUGGGUAAUCUUUUGAACGUGCAUCGUGAUAGGGAUAGAUUAUUGCAAUUGUUAAUCUUGAACGAGGAAUUCCUAGUAAACGCGAGUCAUCAGCUCGCAUUGAAUACGUCCCUGCCCUUUGUACACACCGCCCGUCGCACCUACCGAUUGAAUGGUUCGGUGAAGAUCUCGGACUUCGAUAUUUAUUCUUUAUUGAGUUUAUAUUGUGGGAAGUUAUCUAAACCUCAUCAUUUAGAGGAAGGUGAAGUCGUAACA